This 235-nucleotide unclassified non-coding RNA is filed under the name uncultured fungus. RNAcentral's name for it is "partial contains 5.8S ribosomal RNA, internal transcribed spacer 2, and large subunit ribosomal RNA". The record is from RNAcentral. Lineage: Eukaryota; Fungi.
AACGCACAUUGCGCCCUGUGGCAUUCCGCAGGGCAUGCCUGUUCGAGCGUCAUUUCAACCCUCAAGCCCCGCUUGGUGUUGGGCCCCGCCCGCUGCGGCCGGCCCCAAAGUCAGUGGCGGCACCGUACGGUCCUGAGCGUAGUAACACUCUCGCUCCCGGGCCCUGCGGCCGCGCGCCAGAACCCCAACUCCUACGGUUGACCUCGGAUCAGGUAGGGAUACCCGCUGAACUUAA